UUUUUUUUUUUUUUUUUUUUAAAGUACAACUUCCAUUUUAUUUUUCCAGGGUAGUUUUCCUUCUGUCCUUACAAAACGGCCUCUUUACAUGGGCUUUGGUGGAGGUCGAGGUGCAGCGCCAGCAGGUCUGAAUCGUGGUGGGGGUGUUCGGUCCUUCCGGGCUUCGCGGGAUCGAUUCCUAACAACCUUGCUAUGGAUGGCACAGCUCACGCAAUAAUGCAGCUUGACAUAGAGCUUGGGAAGCACGUAGGCGUCGAAGACGCUUGCUUCAGAUAUGUCCCUGACAGCAGCGGCUUCUACAAUGUUCCGAAUGACAAACUUCUUGAUGGCCUUAUCCUUGGGCACGCACCGGGCGCAGUUCGUGCAGCGAAUGGGCUGCACAUGGCCGCGGCCCUUUUUGGCACGACCGUUGUUUCUUCUUUUUUUGGUCAUCUUGGAGCCAAGACUCG
RNAcentral lists this long non-coding RNA (449 nucleotides) under Mus musculus (house mouse). RNAcentral describes it as "long non-coding RNA chr8:107439130-107439579". The record is from RNAcentral. Lineage: Eukaryota; Metazoa; Chordata; Mammalia; Rodentia; Muridae.